ACGGGUGCGUAACGCGUAUGCAACCUGCCUUCAUCUGGGGAAUAGCCCCUCGAAAGAGGGAUUAAUACCGCAUAACAUAGUGAGUAGGCAUCUACUUACUAUUAAAACUACGGUGGAUGAAGAUGGGCAUGCGUGACAUUAGCUAGUUGGUAGGGUAAUGGCCUACCAAGGCUACGAUGUCUAGGGGGUCUGAGAGGAUGUCCCCCCACACUGGUACUGAGAUACGGACCAGACUCCUACGGGAGGCAGCAGUAGGGAAUAUUGGUCAAUGGGCGCAAGCCUGAACCAGCCAUGCCGCGUGCAGGAUGACGGCCCUAUGGGUUGUAAACUGCUUUUGUACGGGAAGAAACCUCAUUACGUGUAAUGAGUUGACGGUACCGUGAGAAUAAGGAUCGGCUAACUUCGUGCCAGCAGCCGCGGUAAUACGAAGGAUCCUAGCGUUGUCCGGAUUUACUGGGUUUAAAGGGUGCGUAGGCGGACUUUUAAGUCAGUGGUGAAAGCCUGCAGCUUAACUGUAGAAUUGCCAUUGAAACUGAUUGUCUCGAGUGUGGUUGAGGUCACUGGAAUAUAUCAUGUAGCGGUG
Molecule: ribosomal RNA, 583 nt
Filed under: uncultured Bacteroidota bacterium
Lineage: Bacteria; Pseudomonadati; Bacteroidota
Description: bacterial SSU rRNA
Rfam family: Bacterial small subunit ribosomal RNA
Source: RNAcentral